ACAUGCACAAGCCAUACGAGCUGCGUAUCUCUUUAAAGAGGCUGGGGAUCGUGUAACAGGACCAGGGCCUGCAGCAGCAGAAGCUCCAAAUGGUGAUUUUUCAGUUGGACCAGAGCAACUGGCUGUGUUGGUUAAGGAUCGUAAUGUUGAAGCUCUGGAGCAGUAUGGAGGGGUUAAAGGGGUAGCAGAUAUGUUACAAUCAAAUUUAGAGAAGGGGAUAAUUGGUGAUGAUUCUGAUUUAUUGAAACGGAGAAACACAUAUGGUUCAAACACAUAUCCCCAGAAACCGGGAAGGAGUUUUUGGAGGUUUCUCUGGGAAGCUUGGCAAGAUCUUACAUUGAUCAUAUUGAUGAUAGCUGCUGUUGCUUCGUUGGUGCUAGGCAUAAAGACUGAGG
This 395-nucleotide unclassified non-coding RNA is filed under the name Hevea brasiliensis (rubber tree). The record is from RNAcentral. Lineage: Eukaryota; Viridiplantae; Streptophyta; Magnoliopsida; Malpighiales; Euphorbiaceae.